CUCCUCUCUCAUCCUUCAGAUGUCAGGGCAUCUGGAAGUCUCACAGAUAAGGAGCUUUUCAGUUAUAUAACCCAAAAUGUGCCAACUGCUUUCCAAAUACAGAGGGAAACACCUAGUGAAAAUACAUCACCACCAAGCGACUGAAGCGAUGAUCAAAGGGGAGAGCCUGACUGAAGGGCAACCAGCCAACCUGUGGUGAG
This is a long non-coding RNA of Malaclemys terrapin pileata, 200 nucleotides long. RefSeq lists it as uncharacterized. The transcript is spliced from 3 exons. The record is from RefSeq and is a predicted model, not a curated record. Lineage: Eukaryota; Metazoa; Chordata; Testudines; Emydidae.